Molecule: ribosomal RNA, 497 nt
Filed under: Ganoderma tropicum
Lineage: Eukaryota; Fungi; Basidiomycota; Agaricomycetes; Polyporales; Polyporaceae
Description: SSU rRNA
Rfam family: Bacterial small subunit ribosomal RNA
Source: RNAcentral
ACAGUAAAGAUUUUUCUAAUCGUGAUGUCAUAUGGGAAAAUAAUGAUAAUACCUUACUAUGAGUGUCGUCCAAAUCUGGUGCCAGAAGACUCGGUAAGACCAGAGACGCAAACGUUAAUCAUCAUAAACAGGCGUAAAGGGUUUGUAGGCAGCUUUUAUAAGAUAAUAAAAAUCUAAAUUGAAAGCUAGAAUCAAAAAGAGGUUAUAGUGUAUAACGCCUAGAGGAGGGCUGAUAUCCAUAGAUCCUAGGCAGAAUACUCAGGGCGAAGGCCACUCUCCACUAAUGAUUGACGCUGAGAAACGAAGGUUAGGGUAGGAAAUAGGAUUAGAUACCCCGGUACUCCUUUCUGUAAACGAUGAAUGGUAGUCAUUAGUUUUAAUAAAUAACUAGAGGCGAAGUUAACACAAUAACCAUUCCGCCUUGUGAGUACUACUGCAAAGUAGAAAACAAAAAAAUUAGUCGGUCUCGAAGCAAACGGAGUGAAGCAUGUUAUUUA